UUUGCGCAAUGGGCGAAAGCCUGACGCAGCAACGCCGCGUGAGGGAAGACGGCUUUCGGGUUGUAAACCUCUUUUAGCAGGGACGAACACAAUGACGGUACCUGCAGAAAAAGCACCGGCUAACUACGUGCCAGCAGCCGCGGUAAUACGUAGGGUGCAAGCGUUAUUCGGAUUUAUUGGGCGUAAAGCGCAUGUAGGCGGUUCGGUAAGUCUGGUGUGAAAGCCCUCGACUCAAUCAAGGAAGUGCAUUGGAUACUGUCGAACUGGAGUACAGGAGGGGUGAGCGGUAUUCCAGGUGUAGAGGUGAAAUUCGUAGAUAUCUGGAGGAACAACAGCGGCGAAGGCGGCUCACUGGACUGUAACUGACGCUCAGAUGCGAUAGUGUGGGGAGCAAACAG
RNAcentral lists this ribosomal RNA (398 nucleotides) under uncultured bacterium. RNAcentral's name for it is "bacterial SSU rRNA". It matches the Rfam family "Bacterial small subunit ribosomal RNA", at positions 363 to 775 of the family's 1533-position model. The record is from RNAcentral.